UUCCCUGUAGAGCAGUGGAUAUGCGCGUUGUACUUCUAAUCCAAAGGUCGUGGGUUCGAAUCCCACCAGGGAUG
This is a non-coding RNA of Trichonephila inaurata madagascariensis, 74 nucleotides long. The record is from the annotation of a GenBank genome assembly. Lineage: Eukaryota; Metazoa; Arthropoda; Arachnida; Araneae; Nephilidae.